RNAcentral lists this transfer RNA (72 nucleotides) under Camelus bactrianus (Bactrian camel). It matches the Rfam family "tRNA". From Rfam's summary of the family: Transfer RNA (tRNA) molecules are approximately 80 nucleotides in length. Their secondary structure includes four short double-helical elements and three loops (D, anti-codon, and T loops). Lineage: Eukaryota; Metazoa; Chordata; Mammalia; Artiodactyla; Camelidae. The record is from Rfam by way of RNAcentral. RNAcentral also lists the same sequence under 1 other name.
GAGGGUAUAGCUCAGUGGUAGAGUGCGUGCUUAGCAUGCACGAGGUUCUGAGUUCAAUCCCCAGUACCUCCA